GAUGAACGCUAGCUACAGGCUUAACACAUGCAAGUCGAGGGACCGGCGCACGGGUGAGUAACACGUAUCCAACCUGCCCUUUACUCGGGGAUAGCCUUUCGAAAGAAAGAUUAAUACCCGAUAUAAAGGAUGGGGAUGCGUUCCAUUAGGUUGUUGGUGAGGUAACGGCCCACCAAGCCUUCGAUGGAUAGGGGUUCUGAGAGGAAGGGCCCCCACAUUGGAACUGAGGCACGGGCCAAACUCCGACGGGAGGCAGAAGUGAGGAAGAGUGGUCAAUGGGCGCUAGCCUGACCCAGCCAAGUAGCGUGAAGGAGGAAGGCUGAUGGGUCGUAAACUUCUUUUAUAUAAGAAUAUGUAUUAUAUGAAUAAGGAGCGGCUAACUCCGUGCCAGCCGCCGCGGUAAUAC
RNAcentral lists this ribosomal RNA (406 nucleotides) under uncultured bacterium. RNAcentral's name for it is "partial 16S ribosomal RNA". It matches the Rfam family "Bacterial small subunit ribosomal RNA", at positions 28 to 526 of the family's 1533-position model. The record is from RNAcentral.